GGAAGAGUGCCCGAGUGGUUUAAGGGAACAGUCUUGAAAACUGUCGUGGAUGAAAGUCCACCGUGAGUUCGAAUCUCACCUCUUCCGCCA
Molecule: transfer RNA, 90 nt
Filed under: Candidatus Moraniibacteriota bacterium
Lineage: Bacteria; Candidatus Moraniibacteriota
Description: Candidatus Moranbacteria bacterium (groundwater metagenome) tRNA-Ser
Rfam family: tRNA
About the family: Transfer RNA (tRNA) molecules are approximately 80 nucleotides in length. Their secondary structure includes four short double-helical elements and three loops (D, anti-codon, and T loops).
Source: RNAcentral